GAUGAACGCUGGCGGCGUGCCUAAUACAUGCAAGUCGAGCGAACAGACGAGGAGCUUGCUCCUCUGAUGUUAGCGGCGGACGGGUGAGUAACACGUGGAUAACCUACCUAUAAGACUGGGAUAACUUCGGGAAACCGGAGCUAAUACCGGAUAACAUGUUGAACCGCAUGGUUCAACAGUGAAAGACGGUCUUGCUGCCACUUAUAGAUGGAUCCGCGCCGCAUUAGCUAGUUGGUAAGGUAACGGCUUACCAAGGCAACGAUGCGUAGCCGACCUGAGAGGGUGAUCGGCCACAUUGGAACUUGGACACGGUCCAGACUCCUACGGGAGACAGCAGUAGGGAAUCUGCCGCAAUGGGCGAAAGCCUGACGGAGCAACGCCGCGUGAGUGAAGAAGGUCUUCGGAUCGUAAAACUCUGUUAUUAGGGAAGAACAAAUGUGUAAGUAACUAUGCACGUCUUGACGGUACCUAAUCAGAAAGCCACGGCUAACUACGUG
Molecule: ribosomal RNA, 497 nt
Filed under: uncultured bacterium
Lineage: Bacteria
Description: partial 16S ribosomal RNA
Rfam family: Bacterial small subunit ribosomal RNA
Source: RNAcentral